GGGGCGGGGGGGGGACCGGGAACCCGGCGCGGAGCCUCCUCCCCUCGUCUCCCCGUGCGAGCCUCAGCUCUCACCGCGGAUCUAAGCGUGGAGCGCGGGCCUCAGGCGUUAGUCGUGCUGUGCUUUUGCAUCUGCUGUCCCCUGUGCCUGGAAUCGGUCUCUGCUGGGUGCUGAGUAAACGAAGGCUACCCUGCAAGUGCUGGGGUCGUUCCUUCAGUCCUGCCCUCAUUCGUCCAACAAAUAUUUAUGCAGACAGCCCAGGACCACCCACUGGUGUGUGGCUUCAGAUUGCUCACCCUGGGGGAAGCCGGCUGCCGUGUUCGAAGGCAACCCUGUAAAGAGGGACCGAGGCCUGCGAACAACCACCCAAGGGAGCUUGGAAGUGGACCCACACACACACCCAGCUGAGCCCUCAGAUGAGAUCACAGACCCAGCCGACAGCUUGACAGCAACCUCGUGAGAGAAUGUGAGCCCGAUGUCCCAGCACCUGGGUUCCUGACCCACAGACACUUCGAGAGCAUGAACAGUGCUGUUUUAAGCCCCUAAGUUUGGGGGUAAUUUGUUAUGCAACAAAAGAUAGCAGGUGAGUAGGGACUGGAUUGGGCAUGACAGGGGCAGAAGCCAGAUGUCCAAAGAGUCAUGUCCGAGGAGUCUGGGGCCAACGCUGGGGAAUGCAGCUCUGGGCCUGCUCCUCAGAGAGCAAAGACCCUGCUCUCCCCAUGCUGGGCUUGGCUGCCAGGGGGACAGAGAUCCCUAACCUGGCUUCUGAGCUACUCUGCCUUCCUCCCAGUGCACGUGGGAUGGUGUCACCCUACCAGGAUUUUUGCAAACAAGAAUAACAAUCAGUCAUGAUUAGCAGAAGAAAGAGCAGAAUGUGCCCACGUGUGGCCCUGGCCCUUUCAGUCUGGACAGCCCCCCCAUGGAGCUGGUGACCGCUGGCCUUGACCUCCCUCCUCCCAGACUGACCUGGCCCAGAUGCCCAGAUGCUGGCGAGGGGCGCCAGGAUCUCACCCUGCCCAGAGACCCUCUGACAAGUACCCACAGCCUGGGGUGACUAUGUGGCUGUGGCCCAUCUCAUGCUCUCCUCAGGGUCGGGAUGAUUGGUGGCCAGCUGUUCCCACAGCAGAGCCGCUUCAGGUGGUCAGGACCACAGACAGCGUCAGAGGCUUGCGUUCUUCACCCACCGGCUGCUGCUGCGCAUCUGGAGUUCCGAAGCGCACAGAAGCAGGGGACUGUCCUCUGGGUCAGGCCCUGGCAGGAGAGGGGCAAGGUUCGGGUAACACCUGAGCUGUGCUGCAGGGUUUUCUGCCUUGUAUUUUGGCCGACGCCAUCAGAAUCCCUCCAAGCCGCCCAAGAUUGUAGGUGUGGCUGUGACCCGACCACACUCCCUCACGGAGAGGACCAGCCUAGGGUUGACAGGGACAUUCACACAGCGAACACUUCCCGAAGUGCUGCUGAACUCGGGGAGAAAGAAAGCCUCUGGGCCCCCAGGACCCCCAGAAUAGUGGGGAGAAGCCAACAGGCUGACUGCUGGGCGCUAAAUGGUGGCCCCAGAAAAGGUGUCCACCUCCUAACCCCUAGAAUCUGUGAAGGUGACCCUGUUUGGAGAAGGGGUCUUUGAGGGUGGGACUAAGUUAGGGAUCUCGAGACGAGGCCGUCCUGGAUUUGGAAGGCAGGGCCCAUCUCCAAUGUCUGGUGUCCUUAUAAGAUAGAGGAGAGGGACAGACACAGAGAGGGGCCACGUGAUGGAGGCAGAGACCGCAGGGAUGAGGCCACAGCCAGGGACACCUGAAGCCCGCAGAAGCUGGAAGGGGCAGGAAGGGUCCUCCCAUGGAACCUCUUGGUUGUUUUAAGCCACAAGACAGUGAUUUGUUGCAGCAGCUGCAGGAAAGCAGUACAGAGUGCGAUAGGCGCUGUGAGAGAAGAAGGUGCCCCUCCCACAGCCCCGGCUGGCCAUCCUGAGCUCCGAGUCCCCGGGGGCGCCUCCUGGGCUGGGCAGACAGCAGGGCGCUCCUCUCCCGCUCACACUCAGAUCGUCCGGGAGGGACAGGCAGCUGCCCCCCCCACCCCGGGAUCCAACCAGACCAGUGCAAGGAAUGGUGAGCCACUUGGCCUCAUCCUCACACAAAAACACCCCAAGUCACAGGGAGUUGACCCCAUGUGGACACUCCUGGGUGUCCCUGCCCGGGCGCUCCUUAGGGGGUCUGUUCUCAUACAUGCACUCAGGAGGUUUCAUCCGUGGCCAGCCCCAGGGACCCCAGACCCCAGGCCCUGUGGCCAAUAUGACCAAACGUCGGACUCAGAUGAACCACAAAUAGAGGUAUAUAACACCUGGUGAGUGCUACAACCCCCAGUAGAUGGGGCAGACCCUACAGGACUGACAGGACUGACCCUAAAGGACUAACAAAAACAGAAACAACACUGUCCUGAUUGCUGUGACCCUGAUUGAUUAAAUCAUUGGCCAUUGACAAUUGAUUCAACCUCCAGCCCCUCUCCCCUCCCCGGACAUCUAGGGGUGGGACUGAAAGUUGGAACCCUCUAACCACAAAGUUGGUUCUCCUGGCAACCAGCCCCCUCCUUAGGUAACCGAG
Molecule: non-coding RNA, 2591 nt
Organism: Delphinapterus leucas (beluga whale)
Lineage: Eukaryota; Metazoa; Chordata; Mammalia; Artiodactyla; Monodontidae
Source: RefSeq, a predicted model, not a curated record